Molecule: unclassified non-coding RNA, 240 nt
Filed under: soil metagenome
Description: partial contains 5.8S ribosomal RNA, internal transcribed spacer 2, and large subunit ribosomal RNA
Source: RNAcentral
AACCAUAGAAACCUGCGGAGUACCUGCGGAGGGAUCAUUAUAGUAUAUGGAAUCUCCAUUCUAUAAACCCACUCUGCGUAUCUUGUAACUGUUGCUUCCAUGGGACUUGGUUCCGCCACACCGGCUUCACGGCUGGUGAGCGCCCAUGGGAGGAGAAACAAAACUCUUCUUUGAAAUGUAGUCAGUCUGAACAAGUUUUUAUAAACGUUAAAACUUUUAACAAUGGAUCUCAGAUCGGAA